CACGUAGGAGGCAAACGUUAUCCGGAUUUACUGGGCGUAAAGCGCGUGUAGGUGGUUCUGUAAGUAGGGCGUGAAAGCUCCUGGCUCAACUGGGAGAGGCCGUUCUAAACUGCAGAGCUAGAGGAUGGUAGAGGGAGGUGGAAUUCCGGGUGUAACGGUGGAAUGCGCAGAUAUCCGGAGGAACACCAGUGGCGAAAGCGGCCUCCUGGACCAUUCCUGACACUCAGACGCGAAAGCUAGGGUAGCAAACGGG
RNAcentral lists this ribosomal RNA (253 nucleotides) under uncultured bacterium. RNAcentral describes it as "partial 16S ribosomal RNA". It matches the Rfam family "Bacterial small subunit ribosomal RNA", at positions 524 to 776 of the family's 1533-position model. The record is from RNAcentral.